Molecule: ribosomal RNA, 152 nt
Filed under: Klebsiella pneumoniae
Lineage: Bacteria; Pseudomonadati; Pseudomonadota; Gammaproteobacteria; Enterobacterales; Enterobacteriaceae
Description: partial 23S ribosomal RNA
Rfam family: Bacterial large subunit ribosomal RNA
Source: RNAcentral
GGAUAACCGCUGAAAGCAUCUAAGCGGGAAGCCUGUUUUAAGAUGAGGUUUCUUUUGAGGUUCCCUGGAGAUGAUGGGGUUGAUAGGCCGGAUCUGUAAGCAUUGUGAGGUGUUGAGGUGACCGGUACUAAUUGGCCGAACUAAAACAACAA